RNAcentral lists this long non-coding RNA (3183 nucleotides) under Vitis vinifera (wine grape). RNAcentral's name for it is "long non-coding RNA (VVIN_LNC007794)". Lineage: Eukaryota; Viridiplantae; Streptophyta; Magnoliopsida; Vitales; Vitaceae. The record is from RNAcentral.
GAUAUGGUCUGCAGCCCAACUCCUUUGAAAUCUGUAAAUGGAGAUUUUAGAAUUGUAGGAUGAAACUUUUAUUUUGAUUCCAGACAGAAGCUAUGCCCAACAUUCAUAUUGACUUCUUCAAUCGAAAUAGCUGGAUUGAUUUGCUUGCAUCUGAAAGGCUGAUUGCGUGGACCUGUGAUAGAUACUGUAUUGCUUUGAUUUCAUCAUCCUAUACAUUUAGAUGCGUUUUAAAGUUGUGAGAGCCAAUAUCGUAUCAAACUCAUCUCAUAUGUUUUUCCCUAAUUCAGUCCAAGGCUCUUUCAUUGAGCCACAACUUCUUGGUGCAUUUGAGAUGCUUUAGGCAAGGUCUAAAUUCAACUAUUUGGAUGCUGAUAUUGGUACUUUUCAAGCAGAUUUCUUAUAGAAUCUCCCCAUAUUUUCAAUUUCUUUAAUGGGUCAUUUUCAAACAAGGAGUAUGAUAGCUUGAGAGCUAGGGUGACUUCUUAUACAAUAUUUGUUCACUUAUGGUAAGAUUAGAGAUAUGAUUUUAAGAAGGUUUAAGUGUGUUUUUCUUAUAAAAGAUAGAUAUUUAGCAAAGUUUCAAAAAUUUAGAGAAUUAUUUAAAGUGAUUUUUGGAUUAGUAGUGUGCGUGCGGGUUUUUUUUUUUUUUUUUAAAUUUUAAAUCAUCUUCAAAUUUCAAUAUCAUUUAUUUAUGUUUUGCUUUUAAAAAAAAAUUGAAAAUUAAUUUUUAAUUAUUUAUUUAAGUCUUUUUUCAAUAUCAAAAUUGUUCUUAUUUCUAAUAAAAAAAAUUUAAGUAACGAAAGUGAUUACUUCUAUUUCUUAAACAUUGAUUUGAUGUUGGGCUGAGCUCUAUGAGUUGGGCCAACUCACAAGUCAGCGCAACAAACAUCUCUGAGGACACCCUUGUAAUUUUGAAAGAAUUGAGGGGUAAAAUGAGUCAUUUCACCACCUCUUCCCCAAAUUGUUGGUAAGAGAGCCACCAUGGAAGAACAGCGAUGGACCUUAUAACAGUGUCAACAAAACCAAUUGCUCUCCUUACAAUCACCUUAGGUAGCACCAUUUUCUUCAUACUUAUCCUCCGGCCGCAUACAUUUUCUCCAAAGCCAGACUCCAUGGCUCGAAGCUUUGUUUGUGGCUUCAUGGGUUGGGUGACUCNNNNNNNNNNNNNNNNNNNNNNNNNNNNNNNNNNNNNNNNNNNNNNNNNNNNNNNNNNNNNNNNNNNNNNNNNNNNNNNNNNNNNNNNNNNNNNNNNNNNAAAUCUGAUCAGAGGGCCCGCGGAAGCAAAAGAACCCCAAAGAGGCACGUGCAGGGCUCGGAUUGCACAAACAGGUAGGAAGGGUGGCUGGUCGGCGUCAGGCGAGCCUGGAGGAGGAAGCGCGUCGCCGGAAAGUGGCUCACGCGCCCUCACGCGCCGGCGCGUGAGAUGCAGUCGCCGGCCGGAAAAACGCGCGUGGGCGGCGCGUGGAUGGGUUUCUGGUUCCGGUGCUUUGGGACAAAUUGGAGAUCUCCUCCAGGCGCUCCUUGCGGUGUAGAAAAAAACCGUCGCCGGAAAGUUCGCCGGAAAAGUUGCCGGCGGUGAGUGUUUUCUGACGACUAUUCGACUGACUGGAAAGUGUUUUCUCCCUUGGCUCUGAGAACAGGGACUGAUGGCCGGAAUGAGAGAGAGAGAGAGAGAGAUGAUCGGAUUGAGAUAUGGCCAGAAAGAUUUGGCCGGAAUGAGUGAUGGCCUGAAUAAGAGGUGGCCAGAAGGGAUUAGGGUUUCAGAAAACUGGCUCUGAUACCAUGAAGAAUUUCUGAACUCCUUUAUUGAUAAUGAAUCGGUACACACCAUACACAUAUAUAUACACAAAUGACUGAAUAAGAAACAAUCAAUCUAGCUUAAUUCUCUCCUAAAAUUAGGAAACUAAAUCAUAAGGAAAUAUCCUAAAUGAUCUCUCCUUUUUUUUAUUCCUAAAUUAAAGUCCUAACUUUGGCAUUAUUUCAACAGAGAUUUUAGAAUUGUAGGAUGAAACUUUUAUUUUGAUUCCAGACAGAAGCUAUGCCCAACAUUCAUAUUGACUUCUUCAAUCGAAAUAGCUGGAUUGAUUUGCUUGCAUCUGAAAGGCUGAUUGCGUGGACCUGUGAUAGAUACUGUAUUGCUUUGAUUUCAUCAUCCUAUACAUUUAGAUGCGUUUUAAAGUUGUGAGAGUCAAUAUCGUAUCAAACUCAUCUCAUAUGUUUUUCCCUAAUUCAGUCCAAGGCUCUUUCAUUGAGCCACAACUUCUUGGUGCAUUUGAGAUGCUUUAGGCAAGGUCUAAAUUCAACUAUUUGGAUGCUGAUAUUGGUACUUUUCAAGCAGAUUUUUUAUAGAAUCUCCCCAUAUUUUCAAUUUCUUUAAUGGGUCAUUUUCAAACAAGGAGUAUGAUAGCUUGAGAGCUAGGGUGACUUCUUAUACAAUAUUUGUUCACUUAUGAUAAGAUUAGAGAUAUGAUUUUAAGAAGGUUUAAGUGUGUUUUUCUUAUAAAAGAUUGAUAUUUAGCAAAGUUUCAAAAAUUUAGAGAAUUAUUUAAAGUGAUUUUUGGAUUAGUAGUGUGCGUGCGGGUUUUUUUUUUUUAAUUUUAAAUCAUCUUCAAAUUUCAAUAUCAUUUAUUUAUGUUUUGCUUUUAAAAAAAAAAUUGAAAAUGAAUUUUUAAUUAUUUAUUUAAGUCUUUUUUCAAUAUCAAAAUUGUUCUUAUUUCUAAUAAAAAAAAUUUAAGUAACGAAAGUGAUUACUUCUAUUUCUUAAACAUUGAUUUGAUGUUGGGCUGAGCUCUAUGAGUUGGGCCAACUCACAAGUCAGCGCAACAAACAUCUCUGAGGACACCCUUGUAAUUUUGAAAGAAUUGAGGGGUAAAAUGAGUCAUUUCACCACCUCUUCCCCAAAUUGUUGGUAAGAGAGCCACCAUGGAAGAACAGCGAUGGACCUUAUAACAGUGUCAACAAAACCAAUUGCUCUCCUUACAAUCACCUUAGGUAGCACCAUUUUCUUCAUACUUAUCCUCCGGCCGCAUACAUUUUCUCCAAAGCCAGACUCCAUGGCUCGAAGCUUUGUUUUGUGGCUUCAUGGGUUGGGUGACUCAGGCCCUGCCAAUGAACCCAUCAAGACCCUCUUCACUUCUCCUGAGUUCAGAAACACCAUAUGGAAAUUCCCUUCUGCUCCUUCAA